Molecule: unclassified non-coding RNA, 301 nt
Filed under: Rhizophagus sp. (in: glomeromycetes)
Lineage: Eukaryota; Fungi; Glomeromycota; Glomeromycetes; Glomerales; Glomeraceae
Description: Rhizophagus sp. (in: Fungi) partial contains 5.8S ribosomal RNA and internal transcribed spacer 2
Rfam family: 5.8S ribosomal RNA (bases 1-71)
Source: RNAcentral
GUGAAUCAUCAAAUCUUUGAACGCAAAUUGCACUCUCUGGUAACACGGGGAGUAUGCCUGUUUGAGGGUAAGUGUUAAUAAAAAUCGGUGCGUUGCAAUUUUUGUGAUGUUCCGGAGUUUGAGUUAUCUUAACUUCCUUCUGGGUUUUAAGAGGAUUAAAAUUGACCUUUUUUGUGCAUUUUUAGACGUACAUAAAUUUUUUUUAUUCGUUUAUUGUAAUGUCAAAAUCUAUUAGAUGCGACCAUAUAGUGUGGUUCGGUGUCUAGAAAUUUUUCAUGAUUUGACCUUAAAUCAGGUAGGA